Molecule: long non-coding RNA, 1321 nt
Organism: Oryza sativa Japonica Group (Japanese rice)
Lineage: Eukaryota; Viridiplantae; Streptophyta; Magnoliopsida; Poales; Poaceae
Source: RefSeq, a predicted model, not a curated record
CUAAUUCUUCCUUCGUCGUUAAGGUAUCUCUUCCCCCCUUAAUUUCUCUACUGCUAAUGGCGAUAAUGCACUGAGAGAUCUGAUCCUCGCCCUACUGAGAGAUGCCUCCCUUAAUUACGUCCAGCGGGUGGUGAACUGAGAGAUAUCUGUUGGCCUUUGUCGCAGGCGCAUGCAGCUGCCGUGCGCCGGUGACCAGCGGCGCCGGCCGUCAGGAAAGCUAGCUGCAUGCGGUACCUCCAAGCUCAACGGCGGCCGGGGAGGAGCUAGCCGUCUGGAGGUCGACGACGCAGGAGAGGCUAUUACCUCUUGGACAUCACUCCACGUGGACUGCAAUAUGGAGAUCGAUAUACAACCGGUGAACCAUAUGAUGGAAAGACAUAAUUAAUUUUGAGCAAAGCCAGAUGCGUAGCUGGUCAAAAACUACCAGAAAAACGAAACACAAAGCAGAUCGACACAAGAUUAUUUGUAACACUUGUGCUGGCAUGACGUUGAACGACAGGAUGGGCUCCCCACCACCUCCGUGUAGCUGAGCGAGCUGCGCAACCAGUAAGGCCUUGUUCGGUUACGUCCGGAUUUAAUCCGGACCGAGAAUGACAAGCACAGUAAGAAAUUUAUAAUAUAUAUAAUAAGAGACCAGGAUUUAUUCCAGACCGGAAACCAAUUUACUCAUGAUAAGGACAACAAAACAUUCGGAUUGGUUCCACACCUCUUGACUAGUGGAUUGUCGACCCCCGAUUUUGGAAAUCGGAAAUCUUCUGUGUUUAUCAGUACCAAUCCCUGGAUCAGUAGUUGGUACACACAUACAUAGCCGAAUCACAACAUAUCACGAAUGAAUUCAGGCUAAGAGAGUUAAAUGCUUACAUUAGGGCCAGGCAGGCCAACAACUAUCAGAGAACAACAGCGGAAGACAAAAUAAUACAAGGGCCCGGUUGACAUGCCACAAGCAGUCGACUGGGGAACGAGAUCUAGAAUGGAAUCGCACUCCGAUCAUCUUGUUAAGUACGCAAGCGUACUAACAAUGGCUUCUCUUCAACACUCUGCUAAAAAAUAUAUAUAGAGCAACAAUGAGUACAAAAGUACUCAGCAAGCCACCACACAAAAUGCAGUAAUGUACAGGAUAAUACAAGGAGUGGCUAUGGUUACUUUGCGUAAAGCUGAGUUUUCAAAUAUCAUUUCACAAACCUAAGACCUAGCAUAAACUGGUCAAGUUUUAAUUCCAUUGUUCAUUAAACAGCGACGGUUCUGUCCACCAUCCAUUGUGUUCCCAAGGAUAGCUUCCCGCCACUGGUCGUCAUGGUUUUCUAGGGUCUACCCCUUCUCG